UGUGUUGCCUUCUAAACUACGCUGCGACGGGUCUCUCCGGGCUUCCCCUAUACAUAGCUCGACCGCACCUCCUCUACAUUCAUCCAUUUCUCCGGAGUUCUUCAGGCUAAUCAGCAUCAAACUCAGCCACCAACACCGGGCAGCUACCGCUUCAUCAGUAUAAAGACUUAAGAUGUCAAGCAAAAGUUGCGUCUCCGAUGGUGAUGAGGAUCUGGAGGCUCAACUUUCACCCUCAACCGCAGCUGAUAACCCUUGCAGGAAUCGAUGGCGCAGUAUUUUCUUGAAGCUACAGGCACAUCAAAUUUUCAUUUCAAUAUUACGUGAUCCAAGGAGGUCCAUUUCUCUGGCUGAUAUCUCUUCAGCUUCAUCUUACGCCCUCGUCCGCAGCUCUGAUGGAGACGAUUAUGAAGUAAGUUCCUCAUUUCAGUAGCACAAUAUAAUUACUACCAAUCGGUUCAACCGUUCAUCAGUCAUGUCUCCGAUUCAGUUUAAAUGUAAAAUCGUUCUACAAAAAUCGGACUGGACCGACUGUUUGGACCA
Molecule: long non-coding RNA, 540 nt
Organism: Vitis vinifera (wine grape)
Lineage: Eukaryota; Viridiplantae; Streptophyta; Magnoliopsida; Vitales; Vitaceae
Exons: 2
Source: RefSeq, a predicted model, not a curated record